This 484-nucleotide ribosomal RNA is filed under the name uncultured bacterium. Its description in RNAcentral is "partial 16S ribosomal RNA". It matches the Rfam family "Bacterial small subunit ribosomal RNA", at positions 30 to 507 of the family's 1533-position model. The record is from RNAcentral.
AUUGAACGCUGGCGGCAGGCCUAACACAUGCAAGUCGAGCGGAUGAAGGGAGCUUGCUCCUGGAUUCAGCGGCGGACGGGUGAGUAAUGCCUAGGAAUCUGCCUGGUAGUGGGGGAUAACGUCCGGAAACGGGCGCUAAUACCGCAUACGUCCUGAGGGAGAAAGGGGGGGAUCUUCGGACCUCACGCUAUCAGAUGAGCCUAGGUCGGAUUAGCUAGUUGGUGGGGUAAAGGCCUACCAAGGCGACGAUCCGUAACUGGUCUGAGAGGAUGAUCAGUCACACUGGAACUGAGACACGGUCCAGACUCCUACGGGAGGCAGCAGUGGGGAAUAUUGGACAAAGGGCGAAAGCCUGAUCCAGCCAUGCCGCGUGGGUGAAGAAGGUCUUCGGAUUGUAAAGCACUUUAAGUUGGGAGGAAGGGCAGUAAGUUAAUACCUUGCUGUUUUGACGUUACCAACAGAAUAAGCACCGGCUAACUUCGUG